RNAcentral lists this ribosomal RNA (254 nucleotides) under uncultured bacterium. RNAcentral describes it as "partial 16S ribosomal RNA". It matches the Rfam family "Bacterial small subunit ribosomal RNA", at positions 524 to 776 of the family's 1533-position model. The record is from RNAcentral.
UACGUAGGGGGCUAGCGUUGUCCGGAAUCAUUGGGCGUAAAGAGCUCGUAGGCGGUGUGUCGCGUCGGCCGUGAAAACCUGCAGCUUAACUGUGGGCUUGCGGUCGAUACGGGCAUCACUGGAGUUCGGCAGGGGAGACUGGAAUUCCUGGUGUAGCGGUGAAAUGCGCAGAUAUCAGGAGGAACACCGAUGGCGAAGGCAGCUCACUGGGACGGUACUGACGCUGAGACGCGAAAGCGUGGGGAGCAAACAGG